Molecule: ribosomal RNA, 831 nt
Filed under: uncultured Bacteroidota bacterium
Lineage: Bacteria; Pseudomonadati; Bacteroidota
Description: bacterial SSU rRNA
Rfam family: Bacterial small subunit ribosomal RNA
Source: RNAcentral
UUUCCGAAGCAAUACGGGGAUGGGCGCACGGCGCACGGGUGCGUAACACGUGGGUAAUCUGCCCUCCGAUGGGGAAUACCCCCGCGAAAGCGGGACUAAUUCCGCAUAACAUUCCUUGGAUUAACUUUCGAGGAUUCAAAGCAGCAAUGCGUCGGAGGAGGAGCCCGCGCCCGAUUAGCUAGUUGGUGAGGUAACGGCUCACCAAGGCAAUGAUCGGUAGCUGGUCUGAGAGGAUGGCCAGCCACACUGGAACUGAGACACGGUCCAGACUCCUACGGGAGGCAGCAGUGGGGAAUCUUGCACAAUGGGCGAAAGCCUGAUGCAGCGACGCCGCGUGGGGGAUGAAGCUUUUCGGAGUGUAAACCCCUUUCGACUGGGACGAAUGCCUCGCAAGAGGAGUGACGGUACCAGUAUAAGAAGCCCCGGCUAACUACGUGCCAGCAGCCGCGGUAAGACGUAGGGGGCCAGCGUUGUUCGGAAUUACUGGGUGUAAAGGGUUCGUAGGCGGUGUGGCAAGUCGGGAGUGAAAUCUCUGGGCUCAACCCAGAGACUGCUUCCGAAACUGCUGUGCUUGAGUGUGAGAGAGGCUCGUGGAAUUGCAGGUGUAGCGGUGAAAUGCGUAGAUAUCUGCAGGAACACCCGUGGCGAAAGCGGCGAGCUGGAUCACUACUGACGCUGAGGAACGAAAGCUAGGGGAGCAAACAGGAUUAGAUACCCUGGUAGUCCUAGCCCUAAACGAUCAGGACUUGGGGUGCCGCCCGUUCGGGCGUCGUCCCGGAGCUAACGCGUUAAGUCCUGCACCUGGGGAGUACGGUCGCAAGACUGAAACUC